RNAcentral lists this ribosomal RNA (467 nucleotides) under uncultured bacterium. Its description in RNAcentral is "partial 16S ribosomal RNA". It matches the Rfam family "Bacterial small subunit ribosomal RNA", at positions 29 to 493 of the family's 1533-position model. The record is from RNAcentral.
ACGAACGCUGGCGGCGUGCUUAACACAUGCAAGUCGAACGGAAAGGCCCUGCUUUUGUGGGGUGCUCGAGUGGCGAACGGGUGAGUAACACGUGAGUAACCUGCCCUUGACUUUGGGAUAACUUCAGGAAACUGGGGCUAAUACCGGAUAGGAGCUCCUGCUGCAUGGUGGGGGUUGGAAAGUUUCGGCGGUUGGGGAUGGACUCGCGGCUUAUCAGCUUGUUGGUGGGGUAGUGGCUUACCAAGGCUUUGACGGGUAGCCGGCCUGAGAGGGUGACCGGAGACAGUGGGAGAGAAGGACGGACGGGGCGGAUGCCGGAGGCAGCAGUGGGGGGUAGUGCAGGAUGGGCUGAGGCCUGAUGCAGGAGUGCCGCGUGGGGGAUGACGGGCUGCGGGUAGUGGACAGAGUACGCCUGGGGCGAAGCGUGCGUGACGGUGAGGUAUAAGGCCGCACACGCUACUAAGGUC